UUUGACAUAAUAGUUUUCUGGUAACUUUCAGACCAAGGCCAAACCGAAUUGUCAGGUGGUUAGUGCAAUGGAAAGCUGGCAAACCGUAUGAGUAUACCAUCUUGUAGUACUCUUUACCAGCUUUCCAAUGCACUAACGAUCUGACAAUUCCGUUCAGCCGUUUUUGUCGGAAAGUUACCGGAAAACUAUUAUGUU
Molecule: non-coding RNA, 195 nt
Organism: Arabidopsis thaliana (thale cress)
Lineage: Eukaryota; Viridiplantae; Streptophyta; Magnoliopsida; Brassicales; Brassicaceae
Source: RefSeq